GGACGGAAGUUGAAUUGACUGAGUGGCGGACGGGUGAGUAACGCGUGGGUAACCUGCCUUGUACUGGGGGACAACAGUUAGAAAUGACUGCUAAUACCGCAUAAGCGCACAGUAUCGCAUGAUACGGUGUGAAAAACUCCGGUGGUACAAGAUGGACCCGCGUCUGAUUAGCUAGUUGGUAAGGUAACGGCUUACCAAGGCGACGAUCAGUAGCCGACCUGAGAGGGUGACCGGCCACAUUGGGACUGAGACACGGCCCAAACUCCUACGGGAGGCAGCAGUGGGGAAUAUUGCACAAUGGGCGAAAGCCUGAUGCAGCGACGCCGCGUGAGUGAAGAAGUAUUUCGGUAUGUAAAGCUCUAUCAGCAGGGAAGAAAAUGACGGUACCUGACUAAGAAGCCCCGGCUAACUACGUGCCAGCAGCCGCGGUAAUACGUAGGGGGCAAGCGUUAUCCGGAUUUACUGGGUGUAAAGGGAGCGUAGACGGUAAAGCAAGUCUGAAGUGAAAGCCCGCGGCUCAACUGCGGGACUGCUUUGGAAACUGUUUAACUGGAGUGUCGGAGAGGUAAGUGGAAUUCCUAGUGUAGCGGUGAAAUGCGUAGAUAUUAGGAGGAACACCAGUGGCG
RNAcentral lists this ribosomal RNA (626 nucleotides) under uncultured Lachnospiraceae bacterium. RNAcentral describes it as "bacterial SSU rRNA". It matches the Rfam family "Bacterial small subunit ribosomal RNA", at positions 64 to 717 of the family's 1533-position model. The record is from RNAcentral. Lineage: Bacteria; Bacillati; Bacillota; Clostridia; Lachnospirales; Lachnospiraceae.